Molecule: long non-coding RNA, 106 nt
Organism: Diprion similis
Lineage: Eukaryota; Metazoa; Arthropoda; Insecta; Hymenoptera; Diprionidae
Exons: 3
Source: RefSeq, a predicted model, not a curated record
GAAGUUAAUGCCGAUAUACAAACAUGGAAUUUGGUGAAGGGAUUUCGAAAAGGUGCUGAAGAAAAACCGCAAAUUCAUAGUGACAAACUUUUUGUUUAUUUAUUAU